AUUGAACGCUGGCGGCAGGCUUAACACAUGCAAGUCGAGCGGGGGAAGGUAGCUUGCUACCGGACCUAGCGGCGGACGGGUGAGUAAUGCUUAGGAAUCUGCCUAUUAGUGGGGGACAACAUCUCGAAAGGGAUGCUAAUACCGCAUGCGUCCUACGGGAGAAAGCAGGGGAUCUUCGGACCUUGCGCUAAUAGAUGAGCCUAAGUCGGAUUAGCUAGUUGGUGGGGUAAAGGCCUACCAAGGCGACGAUCUGUAGCGGGUCUGAGAGGAUGAUCCGCCACACGGGGAAUGAGACACGGCCCAGACUCCUACGGGAGGCAGCAGUGGGGAAUAUUGGACAAUGGGGGGAACCCUGAUCCAGCCAUGCCGGGUGUGUGAAGAAGGCCUUAUGGUUGUAAAGCACUUUAAGCGGGGAGGAGGCUACUUUAGUUAAUACCUAGAGAUAGUGGACGUUACUCGCAGAAUAAGCACCGGCUAACUCUGUGCCAGCCGCCGCAGUAA
This 501-nucleotide ribosomal RNA is filed under the name uncultured bacterium. RNAcentral describes it as "partial 16S ribosomal RNA". It matches the Rfam family "Bacterial small subunit ribosomal RNA", at positions 30 to 523 of the family's 1533-position model. The record is from RNAcentral.